Molecule: long non-coding RNA, 977 nt
Filed under: Nicotiana benthamiana
Lineage: Eukaryota; Viridiplantae; Streptophyta; Magnoliopsida; Solanales; Solanaceae
Description: long non-coding RNA (NBEN_LNC040161)
Source: RNAcentral
UAAUGCCACAAAUGCAAGUGGCGUUGCAUUCUGCCGUUCUGCUGCUCUAAUUGUAAGCAUUUACUGCUAUUUGUCCCCGAGAAAAGCUAGAAUUCUGAGACUCUACCAGUUCUCUCAUUGCCCCAGUCAAGCUUGAUUCACCUUGUAGGAGCUAGAGAAAAGCUAGAAUUCUGAGCCUCUACCACUUCUCUCAUUGCCUCAGUCAAGCUUGAUUCACCUUGUAGGAGCUAAGUUGCUUGGACUCUUUACUUUUGGUUUCGCAAACAUGUUGACACGACAUUGGUGUGGUUGUGGGAUCCGUAGCGGAUCUGGUCAACCGAUUUUGGGUACUUUGACCAAAGUUAAUGGAGAAAGUUGCGAUAGAUCCAAUGAUUUCUGAAAUCAAUACAAUAGCUAGGGUAAAAUUGAAGAAAAUGGAAUACCUUUUAUAUAGAAAUUCCUAUCUCAGGCCUUUUCCUUUUAUCUCCUUCUCGGAUUCUCCUCUUGAUCAAUAUUUUCUCCUCAAAACACCUUCUAAGUUUUCCUCAUAAUGUCUAACUCUAUUUUUAGAUAUUUGAAUUAUUUUUAGCCGAGUCCCCGCGCCCUUACCUGGAUCCGUAUCCCCUACUCUUAAAAUUUAGACCACGAAGGAUCCGACCUCUAGAUCUGCACCCGUAUCAUACGCCCGCACUCGAAUCCAAGCAACUCAGUGUAGGAGUGGGUAAAUGCCUCUUAGUCACUUCCACUCCAAAGACCAACAAUUAUCCAAAAUGCUGAGUUUUAAAACUAUUCUUGUAGGUAAACAAGAGAAAAUUUUUUAGGGACACAGAUGUUGCUUCUUCCACUAUGCUUAUUCAUUUAUCUCAAGGUUUCCUUUAUUUUCUAUAUUUCAAUAGGAUUUGAAGAACAUGUGAAGUUAGAAACAGUGUCUUAAAUUUCCAUGAUAUGGAUGAUAUCUGAAAAUUUACACCUUUAUAUCAUUAUUUUGUUGGUGUUGG